Molecule: ribosomal RNA, 1042 nt
Filed under: Rickettsiales bacterium
Lineage: Bacteria; Pseudomonadati; Pseudomonadota; Alphaproteobacteria; Rickettsiales
Description: bacterial SSU rRNA
Rfam family: Bacterial small subunit ribosomal RNA
Source: RNAcentral
GAGUUUGAUGAUGGCUCUGAGUGAACGCUGUCCAAAUGCUUGACACAUGCUAAUCGUACGACUAAUUUAUUGCUAUAUUAAUUAUAUAAUAUUAUUAGUAGUGGUGUACAGGUGAGUAAAAGAUGAGUUAAUUGCCUUAAAGUAAGGAUGAUAAGAUCCCUUAUAAUUUUUACAGGGUAAAAAUAAAAAAAGAAAUAGAAGAUUUCGCUUUAAGAUGUUAGUUUAUCCCGAAAGAGUAAUAGUAAAAUCUAGCUCGGGUUUCGGUAGUCGUGACUGAGAGGUCGAUCGACCACAUUGGGUCUGAAAAAAGCCCAAUGCGUAACGUACAGCAGUGGGGAAUAUUGGUCAAUGGUCUAAGGACUGAACCAGCAAUUUGGAGGAAUGUAAAACGAAUAAGUCGUUUAAAGUUCUAGAUAAAAAAUUGAUAAUGACUAAAUUUUAUCUAUAAGUCUUGACCAAAUUACGUGCCAGCAGUCGCGGUAAUACGUAGAAGACAAGUGUUAUUCAUCUUUAACAGGUUUAAAGGGUACCUAGACUGGAAAUCAAGCCAUAGAAGGGACUAAUUUCCUACUAGUUUAUAAAUGAAAGUGUAAGCAUUCCACCUCAUGAGUAAAGCGGCAACGCCGAAAUUGAAAUCAUUAGACCGUUUCUGAAACCAGUAGUGAAGUAUGUUAUUUAAUUCGAUGGUCCGCGAAAAACCUUACCACCUCUUGAAUAUUUUUACAAGCGCUGCACGGCUGUCUUCAGUUAAUGUCGUGAGAUUUUGGUUUGUUCCAUUAAUUAACGAAAACCCUUGCUUUAUUUUAUAUUUAAAGCAGUUCACCGUUAUAUUGGAUAGGAUAAACGGGAUCAAGACAAGUCAUCAUGGCCUUAAUGAGUGUGGGCUAUAGAUGUGCCACAUAUGCCUUUACAAAGGGAAGCAAUAUUGUGAAAUGGAGCUAAUCCUCAAAAUUGGACAUAACUAUUCGUGAAUUGUAGUCUGAAACUCGACUACAUGAAUAAGGAAUUACUAGUAAUCGUGUAUCAUCACGUCACGGUGAAU